RNAcentral lists this transfer RNA (63 nucleotides) under Lamellodiscus spari. RNAcentral's name for it is "tRNA-Gln". The record is from RNAcentral. Lineage: Eukaryota; Metazoa; Platyhelminthes; Monogenea; Dactylogyridea; Diplectanidae.
UAUGGUAUGGUGUAAUUUAGCAUAUUAUUUUUUGGUAAUAAAGGUGUUUUGUUUCUACCAUAA